UACAGAGACUGCAAGCGUUAUUCGGAUUCACUGGGCGUAAAGGGUGCGCAGGCGGCCAAGUGUGUGAGGCGUGAAAGCCCGGGGCUUAACCCCGGAAUUGCACCUCAAACUACAUGGCUAGAGCAUUGGAGAGGGUAGCAGAAUUCAUGGUGUAGCAGUGAAAUGCGCAGAUAUCAGGAAGAACACCCGUGGCUAAGGCGGCUCUCUAGUACGGUACUGACGCUGAGACGCGAAAGCGUGGGGAGCGAACAGG
This 253-nucleotide ribosomal RNA is filed under the name uncultured bacterium. RNAcentral describes it as "partial 16S ribosomal RNA". It matches the Rfam family "Bacterial small subunit ribosomal RNA", at positions 524 to 776 of the family's 1533-position model. The record is from RNAcentral.